This 406-nucleotide ribosomal RNA is filed under the name uncultured bacterium. Its description in RNAcentral is "bacterial SSU rRNA". It matches the Rfam family "Bacterial small subunit ribosomal RNA", at positions 29 to 426 of the family's 1533-position model. The record is from RNAcentral.
AACGAACGCUGGCGGCGCGCCUAAUACAUGCAAGUCGAGCGAGAAGACGUAGCAAUACGUUUGUAAAGCGGCGAACGGGUGAGGAAUACAUGGGUAACCUACCCUCGAGUGGGGAAUAACUAGCCGAAAGGUUAGCUAAUACCGCGUACGCUCCUUGGACUUCGGUUCAGGGAGGAAAGCGAUACCGCGGGUAUCGCGCUCUUGGAUGGGCUCAUGUCCUAUCAGCUUGUGGUGAGGUAACGGCUCACCAAGGCUUCGACGGGUAGCUGGUCUGAGAGGACGAUCAGCCACACUGGCACUGCGACACGGGCCAGACUCCUACGGGAGGCAGCAGUAAGGAAUAUUGCGCAAUGGGCGAAAGCCUGACGCAGCGACGCCGCGUGGGGGAUGAAGGUCUUCGGAUUGU